RNAcentral lists this transfer RNA (77 nucleotides) under Pseudoflavonifractor phocaeensis. Its description in RNAcentral is "tRNA-Ile". It matches the Rfam family "tRNA". Rfam says of the family: Transfer RNA (tRNA) molecules are approximately 80 nucleotides in length. The record is from RNAcentral. Lineage: Bacteria; Bacillati; Bacillota; Clostridia; Eubacteriales; Oscillospiraceae.
GGACCCUUAGCUCAGCCGGUCAGAGCAGUUAACUCAUAAUUUCCAGGUCCUGGGUUCAAAUCCCAGAGGGUCCACCA